Molecule: long non-coding RNA, 877 nt
Filed under: Gallus gallus (chicken)
Lineage: Eukaryota; Metazoa; Chordata; Aves; Galliformes; Phasianidae
Description: long non-coding RNA NONGGAT007177
Source: RNAcentral
GGCUGCCCCCGGCCCGGCUCCCGCAGGAGAAGAACCGCGUUGCCGUCGCGGUCCCUUGGCGGAAAGUAACUUCUCACGGCUGCAAUCAGCCGGCCGACGAAAGACCCCUUUCCGGCCCAUCUGCGCCCCUACUUCGAACUAUACGGGAGUAGAAAAAGCUGCCUGCAGUUUGCCGAGUUCUAAAUAAAACUCCCAACCGACGUUACAAUCAGAGCAUUAGAUAGGAUUAUAGUAAAUGCCAAGCGCAGGAUGGGCCCAGCAGAACGGCGGCACCUGACCCACACAGCGCAGUCCAGUUAAAACGCAUCACACAGGGGCCGGCUUUAAAGGUCCUUUAAAGCCAUCCAAGAAGCCUACAGCCUCGGAGCUGCCCCUGUGCUGUACGAGAAGUAAAGCAGGCGGGAGGAGGGAGUCACACACACGGCACCUCCAAGGGCUGUCCGUAAGAACGGUGCACAUCCCAUAGCGAAAGUAGCUUUAUCUGCCAUACGAAUUGCUCUGUCUGCACGGCAGCUUCUUGCUCUCUUGAGUGACACUUGAGGACGCUGCAUGAACCUUUCUUUCACAACUCGAUUCAGAGGAAAGUUAAACAGACUUCUGGCCAGGAAAUUACAAUGUGUCUAAAAUUGAGAGCAACAAGCAUGUCUACUGUGGUAACGUCUAAAAAUACGUAUCACUUUGCAGUACAUAUAUGGGAAGUCUUUCAUAAGAUACUUGGCCCACUACUUUAUUACCUAGAGAGAAGAUGGGAAAAAAAAGAGAGCACUUUUAUUUAACUGUAAGGCAAGAGCUUUGAACUGGAGCUGUUUUAUGUAAGAAAAACAAACCAAAAAGAAAUCUUCAACAAAAUAAGGAUAUUACUUGGCUGGACUUAGGA